Molecule: ribosomal RNA, 444 nt
Filed under: Micrococcus luteus
Lineage: Bacteria; Bacillati; Actinomycetota; Actinomycetes; Micrococcales; Micrococcaceae
Description: bacterial SSU rRNA
Rfam family: Bacterial small subunit ribosomal RNA
Source: RNAcentral
GAUGAACGCGGCGGCGUGCUUAACACAUGCAAGUCGAACGAUGAAGCCCAGCUUGCUGGGCGGAUUAGUGGCGAACGGGUGAGUAACACGUGAGUAACCUGCCCUUGACUCUGGGAUAAGCCCGGGAAACUGGGUCUAAUACCGGAUAGGAGCGCCUGUCGCAUGACGGGUGCUGGAAAGAUCUUUCGGUCAUGGAUGGACUCGCGGCCUAUCAGCUUGUUGGUGAGGUAACGGCUCACCAAGGCGACGACGGGUAGCCGGCCUGAGAGGGUGACCGGCCACACUGGGACUGAGACACGGCCCAGACUCCUACGGGAGGCAGCAGUGGGGAAUAUUGCACAAUGGGCGAAAGCCUGAUGCAGCGACGCCGCGUGAGGGAUGACGGCCUUCGGGUUGUAAACCUCUUUCAGUAGGGAAGAAAGCGAAAGUGACGUACCUGCAGAA